Numida meleagris (helmeted guineafowl) is the source of this 1551-nucleotide long non-coding RNA. NCBI's taxonomy places the organism in Eukaryota, Metazoa, Chordata, Aves, Galliformes, Numididae. The record is from Ensembl.
AUGAAGAUCUCCGAGCUGAAAGAAAUAAUCUCCGAUCUCAGGAAAACAUCUUCCAAUCGGAAUGGUACACCUUCCAAAAUGAGCGGGACACUCUGCAAUUCAAGCUUGACUGUCUCCAAUCCGAGCGGGACACUGCAAUCCAAGCUCGACUGUCUCCAAUCUGAGCGAGACACCUUCCAAAAUGAGUGGGACACUCUGCAAUCCAAUCUUAACAGUCUUCAUUCCAAACUACAUGCCCUCCAAUCCAACUUUCAUGCCAUAUCAGAAAAGUUGGUCCAAGCUGAGCUUGAGAGACAGAGCAUGGAAAACAACCAGCCUGAUCGACCACAGGAGGCACCACAACUGAUUUCAGUUGCCCCUGUACGAGGACGGAAGUUGAAACGAAUAUCGCUUUCUCCGGAACAGGAGACAGCAAAGCGAGAAGGUCCAGGGGAGCCACCCCAAAGUCCAGGGGAAGGGCCCUCAAUGAGAUCCCGGUCACCAACGCCCACCAGGGCAACAACAACUGAAAGAGACAUUGAAACCCUUACUACUCGUCCUCUGAAAAUGACUGAACUUCGAGUCUUGAGAAAAGACUUUACACGGCACCCAGGUGAACGCAUUGUCACCUGGCUACUUAGAUGCUGGGACAGUGGGGCCAACAGUGCACUGCCAGACAGUACAGAAGCCUGCCAGCUGGGAAGUAUUGCCAGAGACUCAGCGAUUGACAGAGAUAUCAGUAGAUGCCAGGAUGAGUCCUUCACCCUUUGGAAGUGGAUGCUAUUAGCUGUGAAGGAAAAAUACCCCUUCAAAAAUGAUCUGAUGCCUGAGGCAAACAAAUGGACUGCUAUGGAAAAAGGCAUCCAUUAUUUGAGAGAAUGCACUGUGGUGGAAAUGUUACAUGACCCUGGGUUCAUUCCUGAUGAUCCAAACCAGGAGCAUGAUCCUGAGAGAAUCAGGUGUACACCAGACAUGUGGCGUACCUUCACAAGAACUGCACCAGAAAAGUACGCUGGUACAUUAGCAGCCAUGUAUGGCAAAUGGGAAAGAAGACCCCCUAUGGGUGAACUGAUUUCCAGGCUCCAUGACUUUGAGCUACAUUUAACCCCUCUGCAAGUUUAUGCUUCAGCCAUUGUAAAGGUAACUGAAAGACUGGAUAGAUUUGAGAGUGAUCACGAUGAUAUAAUAGAGGAACUGACUUCUUUGCCUCAUGACGAUAAACCUGAUGACAAUCAGGAUUAUCGAGACACCCUACGGGAGGGGCUAAGCAAUUUGUUUUCCUCCCAGUUUGCAUCAUCCAACGUCUCAGCUAUUAGAAGAAGAAAACAUUCUCCUGCUCGAGCAAGUGACAACAGUGAGACUAUGUCACGCGUUGCCUUGUGGCGUUUUCUACGUGACCAUGGAGAAGACAUGAAGAAGUGGCACAAAAAACCCGCUCCUGCACUACAAGCACGGGCAACAGAACUGUUAGCCAAAUCAACCAUCAAGGUGAAAUCCUCCGCUUCUGUUGCUGGGGGACGUGGUAAAAGCCGUAAGGGCCCUGAUCAGAAGAACAAGGGAGGUAACAAGUAG